RNAcentral lists this ribosomal RNA (22 nucleotides) under Colletotrichum gloeosporioides. Its description in RNAcentral is "partial 18S ribosomal RNA". Lineage: Eukaryota; Fungi; Ascomycota; Sordariomycetes; Glomerellales; Glomerellaceae. The record is from RNAcentral.
CCUAUGGAAGCGGAGGACAUUA